RNAcentral lists this ribosomal RNA (914 nucleotides) under Exophiala pisciphila. RNAcentral describes it as "LSU rRNA". It matches the Rfam family "Eukaryotic large subunit ribosomal RNA", at positions 38 to 964 of the family's 3401-position model. The record is from RNAcentral. Lineage: Eukaryota; Fungi; Ascomycota; Eurotiomycetes; Chaetothyriales; Herpotrichiellaceae.
GCAUAUCAUAAGCGGAGGAAAAGAAACCAACAGGGAUUGCCUCAGUAACGGCGAAGUGAAGCGGCAACAGCUCAAAUUUGAAAUCUGGCCUCUUUGGGGUCCGAGUUGUAAUUUGUAGAGGAUGUUUCGGGUACCGCCUCGGUUUAAAUUUCUUGGAACAGAAUGUCAAAGAGGGUGAGAAUCCCGUCUUGGACCGGCGGUAGGGCCCAUGUGAAACUCCUUCGACGAGUCGAGUUGUUUGGGAAUGCAGCUCAAAAUGGGUGGUAAAUUUCAUCUAAAGCUAAAUAUUGGCCAGAGACCGAUAGCGCACAAGUAGAGUGAUCGAAAGAUGAAAAGCACUUUGAAAAGAGAGUUAAACAGUAUGUGAAAUUGUUGAAAGGGAAGCGCUUACAACCAGACUUGCGCGCGGCGGUUCCCCCUUCCUUUUGGUUGGGCUACUCCGUCGUGUCCAGGCCAACAUCGGUUCUGGGGGUCGGUUAAAGACCCUGGGAAUGUAUCUACCCUUCGGGCGUAGACUUAUAGCCCAGGGUGUCAUGCGGCCUCCCGGGACCGAGGAACGCGCUUCGGCUCGGAUGUUGGCGUAAUGGUUGUCAGCGACCCGUCUUGAAACACGGACCAAGGAGUCUAACAUCUAUGCGAGUGUUUGGGUGUCAAACCCGGAACGCGAAAUGAAAGUGAACGGAGGUAGGAAGCCUUGAGGCUGCACUAUCGACCGAUCCUGAUGUCUUCGGAUGGAUUUGAGUAAGAGCAUAGCUGUUGGGACCCGAAAGAUGGUGAACUAUGCCUGAAUAGGGUGAAGCCAGAGGAAACUCUGGUGGAGGCUCGCAGCGGUUUCUGACGUGCAAAUCGAUCGUCAAAUUUGGGUAUAGGGGGCGAAAGACUAAUCGAACCAUCUAGUAGCUGGUUCCUGCCGA